CUGGGACUGAAACACGGCCCAAACUCCUACGGGAGGCAGCAGUAGGGAAUCUUCCGCAAUGGACAAAAGUCUGACGGAACAACCCCCCGUGAGUGAUGAAGGUUUUCGGAACUAAACUCUGUUGUUAGGGAAAAAAAUCCGUUCAAUAGGGGGUCCUUGACGGACCUAACCAGAAACCACGGCUAACUACGUGCCGCAGCCGCGGUAAUACGUAGGUGGAAGCGUUGUCCGGAUUAUUGGGCUAAAGGGCUCGAGGCGGUUUCUUAAGUCUGAUUGAAAGCCCCGGCUCAACCGGGGGGGUCUUGGAACUGGGAAUUGAUGCAAAAAGGAAGUGGAUUCCACGGUAGCGUGAAUGCUAGAGAUUGGAGAACCCAUGGCGAGGCACUCUUGGCUGAACGACCUGAGAGCAAGCGGGGACAACAGAUAAAACCUGUAUCCCGCGUAACAUGAUGCAAUGUAGGGGUUCCCCCUAUGCGCACUACCAUAACAUCCGCGGGAGACGUCCAGAUGAAUCAAGAUUACGGG
Molecule: ribosomal RNA, 525 nt
Filed under: Bacillus sp. W25(2013)
Lineage: Bacteria; Bacillati; Bacillota; Bacilli; Caryophanales; Bacillaceae
Description: partial 16S ribosomal RNA
Rfam family: Bacterial small subunit ribosomal RNA
Source: RNAcentral